CUAGACGAGUUUGAUCAUGGCUCAGGAUGAACGCUAGGCGGGAGGCCUAAUACAUGCAAGUCGAGCGGUAGAGUGACUUCGGUUGCUUGAGAGCGGCGAACGGGUGAGUAACGCGUACACAAUCUACCUCCAAGCGAGGGAUAGCCCUGGGAAACUGGGAUUAAUACCUCACGUGAUUAUGAUGCCGCAUGGUGUUAUAAUUAAAGUUCAGGCGCUUGGAGAUGGGCGUGCGUCCUAUUAGCUAGUUGGUGAGGUAACGGCUCACCAAGGCGACGAUAGGUAGGGGGCGUGAGAGCGUGGCCCCCCACACGGGUACUGAGACACGGACCCGACUCCUACGGGAGGCAGCAGUAAGGAAUAUUGGACAAUGGGCGCAAGCCUGAUCCAGCCAUCCCCGCGUGCAGGAUGACAGCCCUACGGGUUGUAAACUGCUUUUGUUAGGGAAGAAACCCCUCGAUUUAUCGGGGGCUGACGGUACCUUUCGAAUAAGCACCGGCUAACUCCGUG
Molecule: ribosomal RNA, 507 nt
Filed under: uncultured bacterium
Lineage: Bacteria
Description: bacterial SSU rRNA
Rfam family: Bacterial small subunit ribosomal RNA
Source: RNAcentral